UGGGGAAUAUUGGACAAUGGGCGCAAGCCUGAUCCAGCCAUGCCGCGGGAGUGAUGAAGGCCCUAGGGUGGUAAAGUUCUUUCACCGGUGAAGAUAAUGACGGUAACCGGAGAAGAAGCCCCGGCUAACUUCGUGCCAGCAGCCGCGGUAAUACGAAGGGGGCUAGCGUUGUUCGGAUUUACUGGGCGUAAAGCGCACGUAGGCGGACUAUUAAGUCAGGGGUGAAAUCCCGGGGCUCAACCCCGGAACUGCCUUUGAUACUGGUAGUCUUGAGUUCGAGAGAGGUGAGUGGAAUUCCGAGUGUAGAGGUGAAAUUCGUAGAUAUUCGGAGGAACACCAGUGGCGAAGGCGGCUCACUGGCUCGAUACUGACGCUGAGGUGCGAAAGCGUGGGGAGCAAACAGG
RNAcentral lists this ribosomal RNA (404 nucleotides) under Actinomycetes bacterium. RNAcentral describes it as "Actinobacteria bacterium partial 16S ribosomal RNA". It matches the Rfam family "Bacterial small subunit ribosomal RNA", at positions 355 to 776 of the family's 1533-position model. Lineage: Bacteria; Bacillati; Actinomycetota; Actinomycetes. The record is from RNAcentral.